Long non-coding RNA from Drosophila gunungcola (fruit fly), 855 nucleotides. RefSeq lists it as uncharacterized. The transcript has 3 exons. The record is from RefSeq and is a predicted model, not a curated record. NCBI's taxonomy places the organism in Eukaryota, Metazoa, Arthropoda, Insecta, Diptera, Drosophilidae.
GUAGUGCUGUCUUGCAGAUUUGUUUUAAAAUAGCUGAAUAUGAUGUGCGAUGCGUUAUCGAAAUCGUUGCAUCUGUCACAUCUGUUAUUGCUUAUUACGUGCAUUUUGUUUAAAGUAUAAUUGUCAAAAGCGUUACCGCUCAUAAAUCUGUUUAUGAUUUUUAGCGUUGUUGGCAAGAGUACGCGGUACCCCCGCUGUUUGUCACUAGCGAAGUCGGGGUACUUCUUGUCCAAGUCCUCCGGAAUUAAUCUCUGUAUUUAAGAUGUGGCUACACAUCUACAGUGAAGGUACCGUGUGGAGGAGCAUUUUUGGCAGCCAAGUCCACGAAAUCGUUUUGGGGUAUGCCAGUGUGUCUUGCUGUUACGGACCUGGUUUUUCGAUGGGGCAAGGCCGGCUAGCCAGUCGAUCUCAUGGUGGGGUUCUUCCCAGCCCUCAGUCCGCACAACAGCCCAGCUGAUCGGCCAUCUCAGUCCGACGAAAUCAUAACAAGACAAAAUCUGUUACGGACCUGGUUUUUCGAUGGGGCAAGGCCGGCUAGCCAGUCGAUCUCAUGGUGGGGUUCUUCCCAGCCCUCAGUCCGCACAAUAGCCCAGCUGAUCGGCCAUCUCAGUCCGACGAAAUCAUAACAAGACAAAAUGUAAACAAAAUAAAAUGUAAACAAAAAUAAAAUAAAUAAUGUUACAAAUUGGACGUUACUGGAAACUUUACUUGCGCUGAACAAAUUGGAGUUUAGUGUUUAUAAUUUUAUUAUUAUUAACUAUAAACAUUCAUCUUCACUCCUUGCAUUAAAUAUCUUCAGUUAAUUUAAUUUCAUUUUAUUUGCAUCCCAUUGCUACAGCUGCGAUGCCAAAUUCA